Molecule: ribosomal RNA, 697 nt
Filed under: uncultured Chroococcales cyanobacterium
Lineage: Bacteria; Bacillati; Cyanobacteriota; Cyanophyceae; Chroococcales
Description: bacterial SSU rRNA
Rfam family: Bacterial small subunit ribosomal RNA
Source: RNAcentral
AGUGGCGGACGGGUGAGUAACGCGUGAGAAUCUGCCUUCAGGAUGGGGACAACAGCGGGAAACUGCUGCUAAUACCCAAUGUGCCGAAAGGUGAAAGUUAUAUCGCCGGAAGAGGAGCUCGCGUCUGAUUAGCUAGUUGGUAGAGUAAAAGCCUACCAAGGCGACGAUCAGUAGCUGGUCUGAGAGGAUGAGCAGCCACACUGGGACUGAGACACGGCCCAGACUCCUACGGGAGGCAGCAGUGGGGAAUUUUCCGCAAUGGGCGAAAGCCUGACGGAGCAAUACCGCGUGAGGGAGGAAGGUUCAAGUAAUUGUAAACCUCUUUUCUCAGGGAAGAAAAAAAUGACGGUACCUGAGGAAAAAGCAUCGGCUAACUCCGUGCCAGCAGCCGCGGUAAUACGGAGGAUGCAAGCGUUAUCCGGAAUUAUUGGGCGUAAAGCGUCCGCAGGUGGUGAAACAAGUCUGCUGUCAAAGACCAGAGCUUAACUCUGGGAAGGCGGUGGAAACUGUAGCACUAGAGACCGGUAGGGGUAGAGGGAAUUCCCAGUGUAGCGGUGAAAUGCGUAGAGAUUGGGAAGAACACCAGUGGCGAAAGCGCUCUACUGGGCCGGAACUGACACUAAGGGACGAAAGCUAGGGGAGCGAAAGGGAUUAGAUACCCCUGUAGUCCUAGCCGUAAACGAUGGAUACUAGGCGU